AAUGAACGCUGGCGGCGCGCCUAAUACAUGCAAGUCGAGCGAGAAGACGUAGCAAUACGUUUGUAAAGCGGCGAACGGGUGAGGAAUACAUGGGUAACCUACCCUCGAGUGGGGAAUAACUAGCCGAAAGGUUAGCUAAUACCGCGUACGCUCCUUGGACUUCGGUUCAGGGAGGAAAGCGAUACCGUGGGUAUCGCGCUCUUGGUUGGGCUCAUGUCCUAUCAGCUUGUUGGUGAGGUAACGGCUCACCAAGGCUUCGACGGGUAGCUGGUCUGAGAGGACGAUCAGCCACACUGGCACUGCGACACGGGCCAGACUCCUACGGGAGGCAGCAGUAAGGAAUAUUGCGCAAUGGGCGAAAGCCUGACGCGGCGACGCCGCGUGGGGGAGUGAAGGUCUUCGGAUUGUAAACCCCUUUCGGGAGGGAAGAUGGGACGGGCAACCGUUCGGACGGUACCUCCAGAAGCAGCCACGGCUAACUUCGUGCCAG
This 490-nucleotide ribosomal RNA is filed under the name uncultured bacterium. RNAcentral's name for it is "bacterial SSU rRNA". It matches the Rfam family "Bacterial small subunit ribosomal RNA", at positions 29 to 511 of the family's 1533-position model. The record is from RNAcentral.